UGUCUUGGGCUGCACACGUGCUACAAUGGCCGGUACAAUGAGCUGCGAUACCGUGAGGUGGAGCGAAUCUCAAAAAGCCGGUCUCAGUUCGGAUUGGGGUCUGCAACUCGACCCCAUGAAGUCGGAGUCGCUAGUAAUCGCAGAUCAGCAUUGCUGCGGUGAAUACGUUCCCGGGCCUUGUACACACCGCCCGUCACGUCACGAAAGUCGGUAACACCCGAAGCCGGUGGCCCAACCCCUUGUGGGAGGGAGCUGUCGAAGGUGGGACUGGCGAUUGGGACGAAGUCGUAACAAGGUAGCCGUACCGGAAGGUGCGGCUGGAUCACCUCCUUUCU
This 335-nucleotide ribosomal RNA is filed under the name Streptomyces sp. di188. Its description in RNAcentral is "bacterial SSU rRNA". It matches the Rfam family "Bacterial small subunit ribosomal RNA", at positions 1205 to 1533 of the family's 1533-position model. Lineage: Bacteria; Bacillati; Actinomycetota; Actinomycetes; Kitasatosporales; Streptomycetaceae. The record is from RNAcentral.